UUUUAUCUAAUUGGUUGGAUAACUACUUUUCAGGUGUCUUCUGAUUACCACAGUAACACAAUUUUCUUACUCAUGCUUUGCGCUUAGUAUAUUUCUUCACUCUGAAAAAUUAACUUUUGUUGGUUGCACGUCAAGUAACAAAGGUAAUACUUUUUUGUUGCUUCAUUGGCAUGGUUAGUUUUACAUCAUUUACUAAGUUGAAAGCAGUUGAGAUGUAUGCCUUAAUAUCUGUUGUUUUGUUGCGUGUUGCUAUUCCUUGAGGCCACUCCAAGAUGAUCGUUAUUUCUUAUGCAGACAAAUAAUUGCUGUAACAUGAUUACAUUUACUGAUUGGCGUAGCUGUACUUUUGGAUGGCAGUGUUCAUAGCUUAGUGGCAGUGUUUUAGAUGUCUUUUUUUCCUGUAUCCUAUUGGUGCCUUUGGAAAUUAAGAAUUACUUUCUUUUUAGGAUUCUUGCCGGAGGAGACGAACUUUUAUGGAUUCUUGCUGGAGGAGAUGAACUUUUAUGGUGUGUUUUUUCCCCUGUAUGCGUCGCUUCAGAUCAGGCUGAUGCUGUUGUUAUUAUGGAUGAGCUGUUGAAGGCCAAGGUUUUCCUUGUGAGAAUGCCAUAGGUACAAGAAAAGAUUGCCUGAAAGGUCUUUAUGGUUUAUUCUGCAAGGUUAGAGGCCUGCUGAGGCUAGCGUGAGGUCUGCUAUGGCAUCGAUGAUCUGGGUGUCAUGACUGUGAGGACUGCUCGCGCCUCUCCGCUCACAAACCGUGUGACAGAGUAAAUACUCUGGUCCACAACAAUUAGACCUUCCUCCCUCUCAGCUAUGGUAUUGCAGCACAACAAUCUCCUUCCACCUUCAUUUGUUGGGCUAGAGCGUUAGAAGACAUUCUAAUUUUCUAGCUAUAUUUUGCAAUGUUAGACUGGUCAAAUGUGUUUGUAUAUGGUCGCAGUGGCGUGAGCUUUUUCAUUACUUGAUCUGUUUAUUCAAACUCAAUUUUUCUGUUGUUGUGGAGAGGAGGAUCAUCUGCUCUUUCAUACAUAUUUAUUACCUUCACUAUGAUCAUGGUAUCGAUUAAACUAUUUCUAAAUAAGCUUCUCCAUCAAACAUGUCCUAAUUAUGUCUUUCAAGCUGGGGGUUGCUCACCCAACCUUUCAUGGAAAAAUGGCAAUCUGUUCACUUUGUGAUCAUUUAUUUAUUUGAAGUUGCCUAGGAAAGUUGGACAGACAUAAAACUUGGUCCAGGAACUCCUGGAUAUUGCAAUGUGUACUCUGUUUUCAUCUGAAUUUAUUAGUUGCUAGAGGUUGUACCUUUGACGUGGACCAUAAAUUGUCCAUUUGAGCUGAACUUUCUCCAGAGGAGAAAGUCCCGAUGCAAGCUGCCAUGUUUCUUAGCUGUAAUUUCUUUUACCAUCGUCUGAAGAAUUUCUUCCUACCUGUUUGCUAGGCCUGACCAGUAUUCAAGCACCCUAGCCUUUUUUUCCCUUGGCAAGAAACCUUGGCAGGUGCUAUGAGGUACAGAAGCUGGAGAGAUAGUUCCGAAACUCCUUGAGGGCUUGGAGGGUUUAGGGUGUUUGAAAAUGAGACCCAAAUAAAAUUCUUUUCCAUGUCGUUGUUCUGCUGGAACUGUUAUUCUUAUUUCUCUCGUCAACAAUGGAUAUUGUGCCACAAAGUGCCCAGGCAGCUGGAAGCACACAUAAAACCAUCGAUGCUCCUUUCCGUAGGAGAAAUAAGUGAACGGACAAUCUUUUCAUCUUUGUAUAAAUUCAGAUGUGAUUAGCCAAGUCCAGAAGAUUUGGUCUACUUCUCACUAAAUCCCAUCUGUUCUUCAGAUAAUACUUUUUCUUUGAGUUCAGACGCGAUUAGCCUUCAUGAUGCAUGGAUGCAAAUUUGGACAGUUGGAUUCUUGAUGUGCACAUAAAUACAUUGAGAAGAUGGAACUAGAAUUAAACUUCCGUCCAACUGCAGGUCAAGGUUAGAGUGGUUCUGCAACUAUUUCCAUCUGAAAAGAUAUACUUUGCAGCAUCCUGUAUGAUACGUAUAUGCUUGCAGAGGCGUCCGAGCUGUCGAGGUGAGCAGUGGUGGACAACUAUAUAGUGUGUCCUCUUCUUCCUCGACGAUGCCUCCGUGCUUUCCCAUGUCGCCUCACCAGCCACCACCAACAGCAGUGUAUUGAUCUAUGGCGGGCAAGACCAAAGCACUGCAGCCGCCCGAGGGGCGCCCAAGGCCAAGCCUACACUAGCAGCGGCGAUGACGGAGGCGGAGGCGAAGGAGCUCCCCAAGGCCAUCGCGUGGCAGCUGGUCCAGGACAAGCUCGCCUGGGUUGCCGUGGCCGGCGCCGGCGAAGGAGGAGGGUGGAGGUGUGGUGGACAAGGACGCCAUGGCCGCCUUCGCCACUGCCUCUCUACCACUUCAGAAUAUCACUAUAUCUUCAUCCCUGCCUCUCUGCCACUUCAGAAUAAUAGUUGACGUUUUCACCAUAAAUCUGUGUACUGCAGCAUUUUUAUAGAUACUCUCUGUAAAUAAAAUCUUUUUUUCUUUAAGGGUUCAUAUAUAACUCUGUUACAACAUUGAACUAAAUCCUGAAUUCCUGAUCC
Molecule: long non-coding RNA, 2581 nt
Organism: Triticum dicoccoides
Lineage: Eukaryota; Viridiplantae; Streptophyta; Magnoliopsida; Poales; Poaceae
Exons: 7
Source: RefSeq, a predicted model, not a curated record